This 73-nucleotide transfer RNA is filed under the name Mus musculus (house mouse). It matches the Rfam family "tRNA". From Rfam's summary of the family: Transfer RNA (tRNA) molecules are approximately 80 nucleotides in length. The record is from Rfam by way of RNAcentral. Lineage: Eukaryota; Metazoa; Chordata; Mammalia; Rodentia; Muridae.
UGAGAGAUGGCUCAGUGGUUAAGAGCACUGACUGUUCUUCCAGAGGUCCUGAGUUCAAUUCCCAGUCAACCAC